GGAAAUUAAAAUAAAUCACCAGACUUGAACCAUAAAAUUGUCGCAUGCCCCAAAAUCUUGAUGCAGCCGCCAAGUACCAAAGUUAGCAAAAGCAAGUAAUUAUGAAAUUCUAAAGCUAAUGGAAUUGUAUAGUGCAAAAGUUAACUAAAAUAAAAACCUAAUCUUAGAAGCAAAACAAAUAACGUGUAUUCAAAGAACUAAUCUAAACCUAUAUAUAAUUAUCCUACCAUGCAGCUAUCUAGAGAACAAAACACUUAGGGAAUUAAAAUCCCUAAGAUAACAGUCCCUUAGCCCACAAAAAUGGGCCAAUCGGCCACUUACAAAAUAUUAAGGCCCAAGAUUAAUUAAAACAAGAGUAUUAGGCUUUAAUUAAAUCUAAAAUAAUUAACUCCAAGCCCAAUCUUUAAUCUUCUCCAAAAUCCACGUCAACUUCAUCAAAUUCUCGACUUUCACCUACUUCCUCCAUCCACGAGCCUUUUUCCACACUUCAUGCAAUUCAUGCGUCAAAAACACCACAACUUGGGUAAUAUUGAAUAUAAUC
Molecule: long non-coding RNA, 541 nt
Filed under: Salvia miltiorrhiza (redroot sage)
Lineage: Eukaryota; Viridiplantae; Streptophyta; Magnoliopsida; Lamiales; Lamiaceae
Description: long non-coding RNA (SMIL_LNC004502)
Source: RNAcentral